RNAcentral lists this transfer RNA (71 nucleotides) under Marmota monax (woodchuck). Its description in RNAcentral is "tRNA.Ala". Lineage: Eukaryota; Metazoa; Chordata; Mammalia; Rodentia; Sciuridae. The record is from RNAcentral.
GGGGUUGUGGCUCAGAGGUAGAGCAUCCACCUAGCAUGUGCGAGGCACUGGGUUUGAUCCUCAGCACCACA